GACGAACGCUGGCGGCGUGCUUAACACAUGCAAGUCGAACGAGAAUCUGUGGAUCGAGGAUUCGUCCAAGUGAAGCAGAGGACAGUGGCGGACGGGUGAGUAACGCGUGAGGAACCUGCCUUUCAGAGGGGGACAACAGUUGGAAACGACUGCUAAUACCGCAUGACACAUUUGGGUGGCAUCAUCUGAAUGUCAAAGAUUUAUCGCUGAAAGAUGGCCUCGCGUCUGAUUAGCUAGUUGGUGAGGUAACGGCCCACCAAGGCGACGAUCAGUAGCCGGACUGAGAGGUUGACCGGCCACAUUGGGACUGAGAUACGGCCCAGACUCCUACGGGAGGCAGCAGUGGGGAAUAUUGGGCAAUGGGCGCAAGCCUGACCCAGCAACGCCGCGUGAAGGAAGAAGGCUUUCGGGUUGUAAACUUCUUUUAAGUAGGGAAGAAGCAGAAGACUGUACCUCUAGAAUAAGCCACGGCUAACUACGUGCCAGCAGCCG
Molecule: ribosomal RNA, 492 nt
Filed under: uncultured bacterium
Lineage: Bacteria
Description: bacterial SSU rRNA
Rfam family: Bacterial small subunit ribosomal RNA
Source: RNAcentral